This 392-nucleotide ribosomal RNA is filed under the name uncultured bacterium. RNAcentral's name for it is "partial 16S ribosomal RNA". It matches the Rfam family "Bacterial small subunit ribosomal RNA", at positions 523 to 918 of the family's 1533-position model. The record is from RNAcentral.
AUACGGAGGAUGCGAGCGUUAUCCGGAUUUAUUGGGUUUAAAGGGUGCGUAGGCUGUGCGUUAAGUCAGGGGUGAAAUGCCGUCGCUCAACGACGGAGCUGCCCUUGAUACUGGCGUGCUGGAGUACGGAUGCCGUUGGAGGAAUGAGUGGUGUAGCGGUGAAUGCUUAGAUAUCACUCAGAACACCGAUUGCGAAGGCAUCUGACGAAUCCGUCACUGACGCUGAGGCACGAAAGCGUGGGGAUAGAACAGGAUUAGAUACCCUGGUAUUCCACGCCGUAAACGAUGAUGACUAACCGUCGGCGAUAGACAGCCGGUGGCCAAGCGAAAGCGAUAAGUCAUCCACCUGGGGAGUACGUCGGCAACGAUGAAACUCAAAUGAAUUGACGGGG